This 345-nucleotide small RNA is filed under the name Arabidopsis thaliana (thale cress). RNAcentral's name for it is "ATSL255080". Lineage: Eukaryota; Viridiplantae; Streptophyta; Magnoliopsida; Brassicales; Brassicaceae. The record is from RNAcentral.
AAAUUUGUUAAAACAUGAUCACUGGAAUGAUUCCACUGUGUAUAUUCAUAUCAUUAAUAAUUUUUGUUCUCAAUCUUAUCAUGUAGGCGUAGCCUGUAGGCAGGUGUAGCGCUGCUAAUUACUGAAUAUAUAUAUAUCUUAUUAUAUAAAGUAUGGUUUUCAAAGUUGCUAACUCAUAGGAUCGUGCCACGUGUCAAGUCAAACGAUCAGAUGUUUACAUGUGUCAUUCAAAAUUUAACUUUUUUAUUCUCUAAAAAAAUAGAAAAUCUUAAAAAGUAAACAAAUUUACAUAUACUAAUUUAUAUGUCUAUAUAUUUAUAAACAAUUAACAUUUAUUCAAAAAAA